This 520-nucleotide ribosomal RNA is filed under the name uncultured Glomus. RNAcentral describes it as "SSU rRNA". It matches the Rfam family "Eukaryotic small subunit ribosomal RNA", at positions 569 to 1091 of the family's 1831-position model. The record is from RNAcentral. Lineage: Eukaryota; Fungi; Glomeromycota; Glomeromycetes; Glomerales; Glomeraceae.
AGCAGCCGCGGUAAUUCCAGCUCCAAUAGCGUAUAUUAAAGUUGUUGCAGUUAAAAAGCUCGUAGUUGAAUUUCGGGACCAAUAUGACUGUCGUGCCUUCGGUACGUACGGGCAUAAUUGGUUCCUACCUUCUGAUGAACCUUGAUGUCAUUAAUUUGGUGUCUUGGGGACUCAGGACUGUUACCUUGAAAAAAUUAGAGCGUUUAAAGCAGGCUCACGCUUGAAUACAUUAGCAUGGAAUAAUGAAAUAGGACGUUUGAUUCUAUUUUGUUGGUUUCUAGGAUCGACGUAAUGAUUAAUAGGGAUAGUUGGGGGCAUUAGUAUUCAAUUGUCAGAGGUGAAAUUCUUGGAUUUAUUGAAGACUAACUACUGCGAAAGCAUUUGCCAAGGAUGUUUUCAUUAAUCAAGAACGAAAGUUAGGGGAUCGAAGACGAUCAGAUACCGUCGUAGUCUUAACCAUAAACUAUGCCGACUAGGGAUCGGAUGAUGUUAAUUUUUAAUGACUCAUUCGGCGCCUUAA